Molecule: ribosomal RNA, 301 nt
Filed under: uncultured bacterium
Lineage: Bacteria
Description: partial 16S ribosomal RNA
Rfam family: Bacterial small subunit ribosomal RNA
Source: RNAcentral
CAGCCGCCGCGGGAAUACGGAGGGGGCUAGCGUUGUUCGGAAUUACUGGGCGUAAAGCGCACGUAGGCGGCUUGGUAAGUUAGAGGUGAAAGCCCGGAGCUCAACUCCGGAAUUGCCUUUAAGACUGCCGAGCUAGCAGGUGAGAGAGGUAAGUGGAAUUCCGAGUGUAGAGGUGAAAUUCGUAGAUAUUCGGAAGAACACCAGUGGCGAAGGCGACUGACUGGACAAGUAUUGACGCUGAGGUGCGAAAGCGUGGGGAGCGAACAGGAUUAGAUACCCGGGUAGUCCCUGUCUCUUAUAC